This 433-nucleotide ribosomal RNA is filed under the name uncultured bacterium. Its description in RNAcentral is "bacterial SSU rRNA". It matches the Rfam family "Bacterial small subunit ribosomal RNA", at positions 29 to 507 of the family's 1533-position model. The record is from RNAcentral.
AACGAACGCUGGCGGCAUGCCUAAUACAUGCAAGUCGAACGAACACUUCGGUGUUAGUGGCGCACGGGUGCGUAACGCGUGGGAAUCUGCCCUUGGGUUCGGAAUAACAGUUAGAAAUGACUGCUAAUACCGGAUGAUGACGUAAGUCCAAAGAUUUAUCGCCCAGGGAUGAGCCCGCGUAAGAUUAGCUAGUUGGUGAGGUAAAGGCUCACCAAGGCUACGAUCUUUAGCUGGUCUGAGAGGAUGAUCAGCCACACUGGGACUGAGACACGGCCCAGACUCCUACGGGAGGCAGCAGUAGGGAAUAUUGGACAAUGGGGGCAACCCUGAUCCAGCAAUGCCGCGUGAGUGAUGAAGGCCUUAGGGUUGUAAAGCUCUUUUACCCGGGAUGAUAAUGACAGUACCGGGAGAAUAAGCUCCGGCUAACUCCGUG